AAGUGUAGUAUCUGUUCUUAUCAGUUUAAUAUCUGAUACGUCCUCUAUCCGAGGACAAUAUAUUAAAUGGAUUUUUGGAGCAGGGAGAUGGAAUAGGAGCUUGCUCCGUCCACUCCACGCAUCGACCUGGUAUUGCAGUACUUCCAGGAACGGUGC
This 156-nucleotide small nuclear RNA is filed under the name Echinops telfairi (small Madagascar hedgehog). RNAcentral's name for it is "U2 spliceosomal RNA (ENSETEG00000025232.1)". It matches the Rfam family "U2 spliceosomal RNA", at positions 29 to 185 of the family's 192-position model. Rfam says of the family: U2 is a small nuclear RNA (snRNA) component of the spliceosome (involved in pre-mRNA splicing). Complementary binding between U2 snRNA (in an area lying towards the 5' end but 3' to hairpin I) and the branchpoint sequence (BPS) of the intron results the bulging out of an unpaired adenosine, on the BPS, which initiates a nucleophilic attack at the intronic 5' splice site, thus starting the first of two transesterification reactions that mediate splicing. The record is from RNAcentral. Lineage: Eukaryota; Metazoa; Chordata; Mammalia; Afrosoricida; Tenrecidae.